GUCCUGGUAUUGUAAUGGACAGCACCUUGGACUCCUAAUCCAAAGUUCGUGGGUUCGAACCCCACCUGGGAUG
Molecule: non-coding RNA, 73 nt
Organism: Trichonephila inaurata madagascariensis
Lineage: Eukaryota; Metazoa; Arthropoda; Arachnida; Araneae; Nephilidae
Source: the annotation of a GenBank genome assembly